AUACGUAGGUGACAAGCGUUAUCCGGAUUUACUGGGCGUAAAGGGCGUGUAGGCGGUCUUGCAAGUCAGAAGUGAAAUUCCUGAGCUCAACUCGGGCGCUGCUUCUGAAACUGCAGGACUUGAGUGCUGGAGGGGAUAGCGGAAUUCCUAGUGGAGCGGUAAAAUGCGCAGAUAUUAGGAAGAACACCGGUGGCGAAGGCGGUUAUCUGGACAGUAACGGACGCUGAGGCGCGAAAGCGGGGGGAGCAAACAGGAUUAGAUCCCCUGGUAGUCCACGCCGUAAACGAUGAAUACUAGGUGUAGGGGGUAUCGACUCCCUCUGUGCCGCAGUUAACACAAUAAGUAUUCCGCCUGGGGAGUACGGCCGCAAGGUUGAAACUCAAAUGAAUUGACGGGG
RNAcentral lists this ribosomal RNA (397 nucleotides) under uncultured bacterium. Its description in RNAcentral is "partial 16S ribosomal RNA". It matches the Rfam family "Bacterial small subunit ribosomal RNA", at positions 523 to 918 of the family's 1533-position model. The record is from RNAcentral.